CAGCCGCCACGGUAAUACGUAGGCAGCAAGCGUUGUUCGGAAUUACUGGGCGUAAAGAGUGUGUAGGCGGUGCUCUAAGUUCGGUGUGAAAUCUCCCGGCUUAACUGGGAGGGUGCGCCGGAAACUGGAAUGCUCGAGCGUGGGAGAGGAGAGCGGAAUUCCUGGCGUAGCGGUGAAAUGCGUAGAUAUCAGGAGGAACACCUGCGGUGUAGACGGCUUUCUGGACCAUUGCUGACGCUGAGACACGAAAGCGUGGGUAGCAAACAGGAUUAGAUACCCCAGUAGUCCCUGUCUCUUAUAC
This 301-nucleotide ribosomal RNA is filed under the name uncultured bacterium. RNAcentral describes it as "partial 16S ribosomal RNA". It matches the Rfam family "Bacterial small subunit ribosomal RNA", at positions 509 to 807 of the family's 1533-position model. The record is from RNAcentral.